GAUGAACGCUGGCGGCGUGCCUAAUACAUGCAAGUCGAGCGAACAGAUGAGGAGCUUGCUCCUCUGACGUUAGCGGCGGACGGGUGAGUAACACGUGGAUAACCUACCUAUAAGACUGGGAUAACUUCGGGAAACCGGAGCUAAUACCGGAUAAUAUAUUGAACCGCAUGGUUCAAUAGUGAAAGACGGUUUUGCUGUCACUUAUAGAUGGAUCCGCGCCGCAUUAGCUAGUUGGUAAGGUAACGGCUUACCAAGGCAACGAUGCGUAGCCGACCUGAGAGGGUGAUCGGCCACACUGGAACUGAGACACGGUCCAGACUCCUACGGGAGGCAGCAGUAGGGAAUCUUCCGCAAUGGGCGAAAGCUUGACGGAGCAACGCCGCGUGAGUGAUGAAGGUCUUCGGAUCGUAAAACUCUGUUAUUAGGGAAGAACAAGUGUGUAAGUAACUAUGCACGUCUUGACGGUACCUAAUCAGAAAGCCACGGCUAACUACGUG
RNAcentral lists this ribosomal RNA (497 nucleotides) under uncultured bacterium. Its description in RNAcentral is "partial 16S ribosomal RNA". It matches the Rfam family "Bacterial small subunit ribosomal RNA", at positions 28 to 507 of the family's 1533-position model. The record is from RNAcentral.